Molecule: long non-coding RNA, 386 nt
Filed under: Salvia miltiorrhiza (redroot sage)
Lineage: Eukaryota; Viridiplantae; Streptophyta; Magnoliopsida; Lamiales; Lamiaceae
Description: long non-coding RNA (SMIL_LNC001693)
Source: RNAcentral
AGUCAUAUGAGAUUUUAGGAUAUCAAAAUAAUUUGUUAAAGCAUUGCCAUUUGCCAACACGGCUUAUUUGUUAUCUUUUUCUUAUUUCUUGUUCAUUUUCUCAAGAUUUUGGUGCUCCGUUUGACCAACCCUUGGAGAGGAAUGAAGGAGCCGGAGAUCAAAUUGUUUGGCCGCAAGAUCGUCUUACCGGACAAAGGCGGAGCUGUCGCCGCCGGCGAGUUUUCCGGCCGGAGCAGCUGCGUAAGCGACGGCGACGACCGCUGCUUGGAAGCCAGUGGAGAAAAAGGAGAGGCUCAUCAUGAAAUCCAACUUCAUGCUCUCGAGGAGGUAAUCAAUGGGCGUCGGAUUUCAUUUCACACACAACACACACUCACCCAAAGUAAUCG